Molecule: long non-coding RNA, 2773 nt
Organism: Astatotilapia calliptera (eastern happy)
Lineage: Eukaryota; Metazoa; Chordata; Actinopteri; Cichliformes; Cichlidae
Source: Ensembl
GUUUAUCGAUAAUGAGGAUCGUUAAACUCUCAGACAAUAAAGAGAAUGUUUGUUGCAUCACAGACAUGAUCGUAUGUUUUACUAACUAAACACAGCAUGUUGUGGAGGGCAUAUCAGUUUGUCUUGAAACAAUUUUACUGCACAAAGCAAAGGAUUUUUGGAAAGUGCAUUCACCCCUGUAAUUUGUCCAUACUGUAAAUUAUUUUUGCAGCAGUGAUCCAACUGGGAAAAACUGACCAAAAGCAACAGCGAUUUCUUUCAAACUUCCUUUUUGUCAGGGUCCCUGUGCCUACCCGGUCGGCUCAGUACGGCUACAUAUGUUUUGUAUUCCUUUUUUUAUUUUUUUCCUGCUCUCUCCUUUCCCCUCUUUCCCUCCUCCCUCUGCCUGGGCGGAGCUUACCUGCGGGCUCCUGCCCUUGGCCCACGCACCUGUGGCUCAUCACGAGUGAUCCAGCUCCUUUAUAAGACGGCAGCCCUGUGUUUCUCGUCGCUGGACCGUUGCCGACCCUCAUUCCCUGGACCUACCCCUGUGUUACCCGAGUGCGUGGAGUGUGAGGAGGAGUGGACGGAGAGUGUGCGUGUCUUUCCCGUUCGUGUGUGGACCCCCGGAGCCCGGCUUUCCCCUCACUUUUGUAAAUAAUCACCUGGUGCAUCAUAAUAAAGACUCUUGUGCUUUCAAGACCUAGAGCCUGCGCGUGAGUCCGUUCAGUCCCGUUGUGACACUUUUUUUUUUUAACCGUUUGGUGGAACUGGCGAUAAAAGGAAAAAAAGGAUUGUUUUCUGGAGAAAACAUUAACUCAACAAAAGUGACAACUGGACCAGCAGUUCGUUAACUCCAUCUGAUUGAGUAAAAUGGCACUAACUUGUACGAUACCUGCUAUAGACUCUGCACUAUGUGUUGAUCAGGUUAAAGACACUGAAAAGAAAAACUGGUGCAGACAGCUGCAUUUUGAAAGAGUGGAGUUGAACAAAAUGAAAAGUCUGGUAAUGGACAGAUGCAGGUUUAUCCAUAAUGAGGAUGGUUAAAACAGGCAAUAAAGAGGAUGUUUGUUGCAUCACAGACAUGAUAGGAUGUUUCACUAACUCAUAAAAACACGGCAUGUUGUGGAGGGCAUAGCAGUUUGUCUUGAAACAACUUUAAUCUCGAAAUUUUGUCUUUAUUCUCUUUUUUUGGGGGGGGGGCUUAAUAAUCGGCCAUAGUACACUGUAAAUGGUUUUAGUAAAUUUAACAGUAUUUUUACAGGGAUAUGUAUGUAUAAGAUACUCUAAAAUGUUUUUAAAUUAUUUUACUGCACAAAGCAAAGGAUUGUGGGAGAGUGUACAUUCACUGCUGUAAUUUGUCUGUACUGUAAAUUAUUUUGCAGCAGUGAUCCAACGCAGGAAAAACUGACCAAUAACAACAGAGAUUUCUUUCAAACUUCUUUUUUUUAAAAAAAAGUUUGGUGGAACCAACAGUAAAAGGAAAAAAGGAUUAUUUUCUGGAGAAAACAUUAACUCAACAAAAGUGAAAACUGGACCAACACAUUUCUUAAGCACCAUAAGCCAUAGCAACCUUUAGCAGUUCAUUAAUGUCACCGACUUGCUCGAUACCUGCUAUAGACUCUGCACACAUGGAAGCCAAUCAGAGAUCGUACACUGUUAAACUUCCAACAUCUGAGUUCAUUAUUAGCUGUUGAGGUUAAGCAUUCAGUCAACACAGAAACACUGGGGAGGAUGUUUUCUGUACUCUGUAAGGACCAGUGAUGGAUGUGGGGCUGAAGCCUUUAGGUUUAUAUUGUUAAAAAGUAAUUAUGAGAGAAUUUGUUUCAGGUCGUUUUUCAGAGUAACAUGAAAGUAACAUAAUGAAUAAUGUAACAAAUUAACUUUUAGUAAACUACUGCAUUACUUCUAAGAAAGGUGUUCUGUGUAAUAUGUUUAUUUAUUUCUCGAGUAAUAACCUCAACAGCGGUAAGCACAGAUAAUUUUGUUGAUAAUGAGAACGCACUGCUCAUUAAGUUUUAAAAUUACAUUUUAAAAGUCAAAUGAACAAAAUGUGUGUCAAAACAAGCAUUUAGCUCGAUUUCAACUUCUCUGGUCUCUGCAGUAACCUCUUUGUGGUGUAUUUUUUUCCACUUUAACAGUCAAAUAUUAACCACAGGCACUAAAACUGUGUCCUUUACAUCUGCUUCCUCUCUAUUUUAUGGCCUCACAGAGAGUAGUAGUAACAUGUGGUGUAGCUUACUGAUGGCCACUUUAACAUGAAUUCAAAUUGAAAUUUCCACAAGUCAUAAUAGCUAAACCCAGAGAUUUAAAUUCUUUUACAAUCAAGGCCUGUGAGCACCAGUCAAUUUACAUGAAAGUAAAUGAAGUGUAAAAUAUAACUGUGCACAGUUUGUAGAUUUUCUGUGAGUGAGUUAUUUUUUUCAUUUCUUAGCAGUCAUAUAAUGCUUAUUUUCUUUGUCACUUAUUUGUGUAUUUACUGUGUAAAUGUUUGUAAUAGAUAAGUCAGGGCAAGUUUGUUGACGGUGUAAGCCUCAUUUAUUCUCCAGGUUUCAGUACUGUUGUUUACUGUGGCUUGAUUUUCUGUAGAAAGUGUAAUGAAGAAAACUUCUGUUAUGAAACAGCACAUUCCUCAUUUCAAAAGCGCAAAUUAAAAAAAUUAUACAAUUCAUUUUUUUAAAUUUAUUUUUUAGAAAAUAACAUAAUUAAAUACAGAAAUAAGACUGAGACUUUGCAGAGCUCUGCACAGAAUCCAACAUGAGCUCGGUUAGCACCAAAGAAAAAACCCUUGAUA